Eubalaena glacialis (North Atlantic right whale) is the source of this 772-nucleotide long non-coding RNA. RefSeq lists it as uncharacterized. NCBI's taxonomy places the organism in Eukaryota, Metazoa, Chordata, Mammalia, Artiodactyla, Balaenidae. The transcript is spliced from 4 exons. The record is from RefSeq and is a predicted model, not a curated record.
UGCCCUGCUUUCUGGCCUCCGUUUUCCUGGUUAUAAAGCAAAGAUGCCUGGGGCGGGAUGCAGGCUGCCCAGGGAGGCAACCCUCGUUAGGGAGGGUCCAUCAACGCUCUCAGACCCAGGAAAGAGAAAGCCCUGGCCCUGACUCAGAAUUGGAUUCUAGCUGGAGGCGUCCUCUCCGUGGCUGGCUCCAGGGAAAGGUGCUGUCGGUGCCCCCCCUGGGGAAGUUGGGUACCACGAUUGGGAAAUUGAGGCUCGAGGAUUUGGAGCUUGGAAUGGAUGGAGCUGUCACUGAACAUGGGUCAGCCUGUCUCCAGAAGCCACACUGAAUGUUCCCUUCGAGGCACAAACAACAAAAUCCAGAACAAAGGCCCCACCUCGCUGCACACAGAGCCUCUUCUGGCUGACUUAGGCUCUCUCCGUGGAUGCAAGUACAGCGGCCCCUCCGAUGCCAACAACGCUGCCUGCUGCGGAGGGCCAGCCCGUUCUCUGCAGCCCUGAGAGGGCAAGAGCGGACCCAACCUCUGUGCCCAUCCACCGGGGACUGGAUCACCGCGCGCAGGGGCAUGCGCACAAGGGAACACUAUUCAGUCACGAGGAAGAGCGAGGUCGCCACACGUAUAGACCUGGAAAGGAGACUGUAAUGUGUAAAGGAAAAUAAAUUGCCAAACAGGAUGUAUAGCACUGCCCGACUUUUAUCAAAAGAAGUAUUUAUAUGGGCUUCUAUUGACAGAAGAAACUGGAAGUCUUAGUAUUAAUCUCUGGACGCUGGUUA